RNAcentral lists this ribosomal RNA (383 nucleotides) under uncultured eukaryote. RNAcentral describes it as "partial 18S ribosomal RNA". It matches the Rfam family "Eukaryotic small subunit ribosomal RNA", at positions 592 to 976 of the family's 1831-position model. The record is from RNAcentral.
CAAUAGCGUAUAUUAAAGUUGUUGCGGUUAAAAAGCUCGUAGUUGGAUCUCGGCAGGCAGGGGGUGGUUCGCUCUUAGCGCUACUGCCCCAUUUGCCUGUGUGAUUGGCGGAGGUUUCGGGGUGCUCUUCGUUGAGUGACCCGGGGCGCCGUCAGGUUUACUUUGAAAAAAUUAGAGUGCUCAAAGCAGGCUUUUCACGCUUGAACAUUCGUGCAUGGAAUAAUGGAAUAGGAACUCGUUUCUAUUUUGUUGGUUUUCGGAAAUCGAGUUAAUGAUUAAUAGGGACAAUUGGGGGCAUUAGUAUUCAGACGACAGAGGUGAAAUUCUUGGACCGUCUGAAGACUAACUACUGCGAAAGCAUUUGCCAAGAGUGUUUUCAUUAA